Molecule: ribosomal RNA, 1531 nt
Filed under: Escherichia coli G58-1
Lineage: Bacteria; Pseudomonadati; Pseudomonadota; Gammaproteobacteria; Enterobacterales; Enterobacteriaceae
Description: bacterial SSU rRNA
Rfam family: Bacterial small subunit ribosomal RNA
Source: RNAcentral
AGAGUUUGAUCAUGGCUCAGAUUGAACGCUGGCGGCAGGCCUAACACAUGCAAGUCGAACGGUAACAGGAAACAGCUUGCUGUUUCGCUGACGAGUGGCGGACGGGUGAGUAAUGUCUGGGAAACUGCCUGAUGGAGGGGGAGUAACUACUGGAAACGGUAGCUAAUACCGCAUAACGUCGCAAGACCAAAGAGGGGGACCUUCGGGCCUCUUGCCAUCAGAUGUGCCCAGAUGGGAUUAGCUAGUAGGUGGGGUAACGGCUCACCUAGGCGACGAUCCCUAGCUGGUCUGAGAGGAUGACCAGCCACACUGGAACUGAGACACGGUCCAGACUCCUACGGGAGGCAGCAGUGGGGAAUAUUGCACAAUGGGCGCAAGCCUGAUGCAGCCAUGCCGCGUGUAUGAAGAAGGCCUUCGGGUUGUAAAGUACUUUCAGCGGGGAGGAAGGGAGUAAAGUUAAUACCUUUGCUCAUUGACGUUACCCGCAGAAGAAGCACCGGCUAACUCCGUGCCAGCAGCCGCGGUAAUACGGAGGGUGCAAGCGUUAAUCGGAAUUACUGGGCGUAAAGCGCACGCAGGCGGUUUGUUAAGUCAGAUGUGAAAUCCCCGGGCUCAACCUGGGAACUGCAUCUGAUACUGGCAAGCUUGAGUCUCGUAGAGGGGGGUAGAAUUCCAGGUGUAGCGGUGAAAUGCGUAGAGAUCUGGAGGAAUACCGGUGGCGAAGGCGGCCCCCUGGACGAAGACUGACGCUCAGGUGCGAAAGCGUGGGGAGCAAACAGGAUUAGAUACCCUGGUAGUCCACGCCGUAAACGAUGUCGACUUGGAGGUUGUGCCCUUGAGGCGUGGCUUCCGGAGCUAACGCGUUAAGUCGACCGCCUGGGGAGUACGGCCGCAAGGUUAAAACUCAAAUGAAUUGACGGGGGCCCGCACAAGCGGUGGAGCAUGUGGUUUAAUUCGAUGCAACGCGAAGAACCUUACCUGGUCUUGACAUCCACGGAAGUUUUCAGAGAUGAGAAUGUGCCUUCGGGAACCGUGAGACAGGUGCUGCAUGGCUGUCGUCAGCUCGUGUUGUGAAAUGUUGGGUUAAGUCCCGCAACGAGCGCAACCCUUAUCCUUUGUUGCCAGCGGUCCGGCCGGGAACUCAAAGGAGACUGCCAGUGAUAAACUGGAGGAAGGUGGGAAUGACGUCAAGUCAUCAUGGCCCUUACGACCAGGGCUACACACGUGCUACAAUGGCGCAUACAAAGAGAAGCGACCUCGCGAGAGCAAGCGGACCUCAUAAAGUGCGUCGUAGUCCGGAUUGGAGUCUGCAACUCGACUCCAUGAAGUCGGAAUCGCUAGUAAUCGUGGAUCAGAAUGCCACGGUGAAUACGUUCCCGGGCCUUGUACACACCGCCCGUCACACCAUGGGAGUGGGUUGCAAAAGAAGUAGGUAGCUUAACCUUCGGGAGGGCGCUUACCACUUUGUGAUUCAUGACUGGGGUGAAGUCGUAACAAGGUAACCGUAGGGGAACCUGCGGUUGGAUCACCU